GACGAACGCUGGCGGCGUGCUUAACACAUGCAAGUCGAGCGGUAAGGCCCUUUCGGGGGUACGACGAGCGGCGAACGGGUGAGUAACACGUGGGUGACCUGCCCUCAGCUCUGGGAUAAAGCCCGGGAAACUGGGUCUAAUACCGGAUAUGACUCCAUGACGCAUGUUGUGGGGUGGAAAGCCUUGUGCGGCUGAGGAUGGGCCCGCGGCCUAUCAGCUUGUUGGUGGGGUGAUGGCCUACCAAGGCGACGACGGGUAGCCGGCCUGAGAGGGCGACCGGCCACACUGGGACUGAGAUACGGCCCAGACUCCUACGGGAGGCAGCAGUGGGGAAUCUUGCGCAAUGGGCGAAAGCCUGACGCAGCGACGCCGCGUGAGGGAUGACGGCC
This 389-nucleotide ribosomal RNA is filed under the name uncultured bacterium. RNAcentral describes it as "bacterial SSU rRNA". It matches the Rfam family "Bacterial small subunit ribosomal RNA", at positions 28 to 416 of the family's 1533-position model. The record is from RNAcentral.